CCUACGGGGUCAGCAGUAGGGAAUCUUCCACAAUGGGCGAAAGCCUGAUGGAGCAACGCCGCGUGGGUGAAGAAGGUCUUCGGAUCGUAAAACCCUGUUGUUAGAGAAGAAAGUGCGUUAGAGUAACUGUUCACGUUUCGACGGUAUCUAACCAGAAAGCCACGGCUAACUAGGGGCCAGCAGCCCGGGUAAUACGUAGGUGGCAAGCGUUAUCCGGAUUUUUUGGGCGUAAAGGGACCGCGGGGGGUCUUUUAAGUCGGAUGUGAAAGCCUUCGGUUUAACCGGAGUAGUGCAUUGGACACUGGGAGACUUGAGUGCAGAAGAGGAGAGUGGAACUCCAUGUGUAGCGGUGAAAUGCGUAGAUAUAUGGAAGAACCAGUGGCGAAAGCGGCUCUCUGGUCUGUAACUGACGCUGAGGUUCGAAAGCGUGGGUAGCAAACAGGAUUAGAUACCCUUGUAGUC
Molecule: ribosomal RNA, 462 nt
Filed under: uncultured bacterium
Lineage: Bacteria
Description: partial 16S ribosomal RNA
Rfam family: Bacterial small subunit ribosomal RNA
Source: RNAcentral